Rosa rugosa (rugosa rose) is the source of this 521-nucleotide long non-coding RNA. RefSeq lists it as uncharacterized. The record is from RefSeq and is a predicted model, not a curated record. NCBI's taxonomy places the organism in Eukaryota, Viridiplantae, Streptophyta, Magnoliopsida, Rosales, Rosaceae. The transcript is spliced from 5 exons.
CAGCGGGAACAUAAGAAGACGGAAAUUGAGUUUCAUAAAGCGAGGGCUGAAUUGAAAGAACAAUACAAAGGGUUUUUUAAAAACCUCCAAGGGGAAGGAAAGACUGAAUUUUGGCUUUCUAAAUUGAAGAACAAUGAAGUACUUGCUAAGAAGAUUACACAACUGGAUGAAGGGGCCUUCCAGCAUUUAAAAAAUAUUCGUUGUAGAAAGAUUCCUAAUGGAUUCAAGCUGGAGUUCUUAUUUGAUUCUAAUCCUUAUUUUAAAGAUUCUAAGCUCAAGAAAACAUUUCGCACAACUUCUGGCAACAAGCCUAAAGUCACAGAGGCAACCGGGAUGGAGAUCGAGUGGCAUCCUGGGAAAAGCUUGACUGAAACUGAAAAUGGUGACAGCUUCUUCAACUUCUUUAAGUCCCCUGUUGCCGACACUGCAGAAAAAGUCCAAAGACUUAUGGAGCAGGACUAUUGCAUUGGGUAUGUAACUAUUACCUUCACUAUGGCUGAGUUAAUGCAUCAAGUAACCGC